Non-coding RNA from Podarcis lilfordi (Lilford's wall lizard), 70 nucleotides. The record is from the annotation of a GenBank genome assembly. Lineage: Eukaryota; Metazoa; Chordata; Lepidosauria; Squamata; Lacertidae.
AGCCAUGGUUCAGGGGAAGAACGCAUGCGUUGCAUGCAGAAGGUCCUUGGUUCAAUCCCCAGCAUAUCUA